RNAcentral lists this ribosomal RNA (497 nucleotides) under uncultured bacterium. RNAcentral describes it as "partial 16S ribosomal RNA". It matches the Rfam family "Bacterial small subunit ribosomal RNA", at positions 28 to 507 of the family's 1533-position model. The record is from RNAcentral.
GAUGAACGCUGGCGGCGUGCCUAAUACAUGCAAGUCGAGCGAACGGACGAGAAGCUUGCUUCUCUGAUGUUAGCGGCGGACGGGUGAGUAACACGUGGAUAACCUACCUGUAAGACUGGGAUAACUUCGGGAAACCGGAUCUAAUACCGGAUGAUAUUUUGAACCGCAUGGUUCAAAAGUGAAAGACGGUCUUGCUGUCACUUAUAGAUGGAUCCGCGCUGCAUUAGCUAGUUGGUAAGGUAACGGCUUACCAAGGCAACGAUGCAUAGCCGACCUGAGAGGGUGAUCGGCCACACUGGAACUGAGACACGGUCCAGACUCCUACGGGAGGCAGCAGUAGGGAAUCUUCCGCAAUGGGCGAAAGCCUGACGGAGCAACGCCGCGUGAGUGAUGAAGGUCUUCGGAUCGUAAAACUCUGUUAUUAGGGAAGAACAUAUGUGUAAGUAACUGUGCACAUCUUGACAGUACCUAAUCAGAAAGCCACGGCUAACUACGUG